AGGAUGAACGCUAGCGGCAGGCCUAAUACAUGCAAGUCGAACGGGGUUCAGCAGCAAUGUUGAGCUUAGUGGCGCACGGGUGCGUAACGCGUAUGCAACCUACCCUUGACUGGGGCAUAGCCUUCCGAAAGGGAGAUUAACACCGCAUAAGAUCGGCUACUGGCAUCAGUUGGCGAUUAAAUCUACGGAGGUCGAGGAUGGGCAUGCGUCCGAUUAGCUAGUUGGCGGGGUAGUGGCCCACCAAGGCGACGAUC
Molecule: ribosomal RNA, 254 nt
Filed under: uncultured bacterium
Lineage: Bacteria
Description: partial small subunit ribosomal RNA
Rfam family: Bacterial small subunit ribosomal RNA
Source: RNAcentral